This 223-nucleotide small RNA is filed under the name Nannospalax galili (Upper Galilee mountains blind mole rat). RNAcentral's name for it is "Metazoan signal recognition particle RNA (ENSNGAG00000004078.1)". Lineage: Eukaryota; Metazoa; Chordata; Mammalia; Rodentia; Spalacidae. The record is from RNAcentral.
GCCGGGCAUGGUGGUGCACACCUUUAAUCCCAGCACUUGGGAGGCAGAGGCAGGAGGAUCUCUGUGAGUUCAAGGCCAGCCUGGUCUACAUAGUAAGUCCCAGGACAGCUGGGGCUACAGAGAGACCCUGUCUCAAAAAGACCAAAAAAAUUUUUUUUCUUUUUUCUGUAUGAAACUGUGUAGACCAGGCUGGCCUUGAACUCACAAAGAUCUGCCUGCCUCU